GUAAUCGACACUUUUCUUCUUGGAACCUUUUGAGUUUUAAUGAGGCAAUUUCUUUGGUAAUCAUUUCUGCAAUUCCUUUUUGUGUUGGUGUUAAACCAUCUGAAUAAAAUAAAAAAUAAAAUAAAAAAACACUGACGGUAAGAAGACAAAGACGAGAACUACUGAGGAGAAAGACCGCAAUGGAGGAAGGAAUCAAAAAAAGAGGAAAGCAAGGACGGUAAUAUUGGGAAAGAACUACCGGUCAAGAAAAGGAAGAUAAAAGAAAGGAAUUCUGGAGAAGAAAAGUGAAGGUAAGAAACAGUUUGGUAGAUUCAUGGGAGAGCAGUUUAUUAUAUUCUAUCAUGGAAAGUGGAGGGUUACCUUCAGGAAACCGCUAAGCUUAUUUAAAUAUUACUAAAGUAAACUCAUCCUUUCGAUUUAUUUUAAAAACGUCUUCAUGAUCUAAUGUUUUUACCAGAACAAAAAUAGUUUUUAACCACUUCAGGACAUAGCAGUAGAUUCUAGUACAUUUUCUGAGUACAGAAUGACCCCCUUAGCAUGUAUCUUUGUCAAUUUUUGUGAAAAUACUGAUCUAAAUUAAUAACCUACCCAAUACAGUUUAAAAAAAAAUGAAUAUUGGUGUGGGUCUGUUUGUGUGGCUAAGUGCAUGUGAUUUUAUUAAAAGACACGAAGGCUCAUGUUAUGCGUUAUCUAUCUCUUUCUUUAUUCCUCAGCAGCAAAGAAAGGAUAUUAAGAUAUUCAUAGAAAGAAAAAAAAAAAAAUACCCUCAGAGGGUUAAGUCCACAUUCCAUAUACUCCCAUGUGACCCUAAGCCACUCCUUUUUCUUUGCUGCUGCCUCAGCUAAGUACCAUCAAAUUGUAGUCUGUGGAUUUUUUCUGUUUUGUGUUAUUAAUUACCUGUUAUUUAAAUUUUUUUCUGUUAAUAUAACAUUAUCUGUGUUUCACAGCAAACCUUUCCCUCUCUUCUCUUUGGGUAGUUCAUUACCCGUUUUCCCCCCAGUGCUAGGCGACCCCGACCUUCCAGGGUCUCCCGCUGGCCUCAGGGCACAUCUCCCUGUCUGCCCGCCGGUUUGCGUCCUAAACCCCGCCGGUGCAGCCCGCGCAUGUGCAGUUCACGGUUGCGCAUCGCGGCGCCCAUCUUACGUGUGGCAAAGUUUUGCCGCUUUUUUUUUCUCCCAUCGUGCCGCUCGUUUGAGGGGGUGUGCGAGCUGAUUGGAUGCCUGUGUUGCUGGGCAGCUUACCGGUGCUACUCUGAGGCUAUUCCUGAGGGAACACUCGGUAAGCUAGCCCAUUAAACCUGUGUUGCUUUGUGUAUUUUUGUGCCUGACAGUCCCUGCUUUUAGCCCAGCCCUCCUUCUCUAACAUGAUCCUUUCCUAUAGUUCAACCCCAGUGUGCAGAGUGCUAUCUGCCCUUCAUAUUGUCACUAUGCAGACCCCCUACUGAUUUGGAGAUUAAUACUCCUAACACCUCUGGGAAUACCAAUAGGUAGCGCCUAUCCCCUAUUUCAAAUAGACACCCAACCCACCAAGGGGCAGAGGAAGCGUCACUAGAGCAGAUAAACUUGGAGGAGUUUCACUCGCUCUUAGACGCCACCAUGCCCAAACUGGUCAUGCAGGCCAUUUAUAAUGCAAUGGGAGCUAUGUCGGACAAUUUGUCCCACUCCAUAUCGAAUGCUAUCACAGCAUCUAACCAAGCUUCUGGGUUAACACUCCUUAAGGCCUCUGAUGACAAGCCAGUGGUCCCUAGCGGCUGUAAAGCUACAACAACACCUCCAAAAUUGUAAAUACGGAUAGGCUACGUCCGGUCACCAUUGAUGACGUGGUGCCCCCAUGUAAAAGCAGUGCGGACAUGGAAAAGCGCAAAAUCCCUAUCUGAUUCUUCUGACUCUGAUUCGGAUUCUGAGGAGGUUUCUGGCGAGUCCGAUGUGAUCGGCUCUAUUGAAUUGGAGAAUUCGUCUCCUGACCGCAGUUUAUCUGCAUGACCAGUACUUACUAUUUAAGAAAUGGUGGACAAUUCAGCUUUCCUCGACCCACAAGGGGAACCCCUGUUUGACACUGAUGCCCUCCAGAACCCAAGGUCAGCUGAGUGGCACCCCACUGACCACGUAACCAAGUACAUUGCUGCUAGGAUUAGAUUAGCCAUGAGGAAUAAACUUAGGGUGGAAUGCCCACGUCCUACGGUCACCGACAUGGCCUGUGUUACACCGGAUGUAGACCCUAAGGACCACAGGCAAAAGGACUCCUAUUCGGGGACAAUUUUGUUAAAGAACUGGACAACUAUGUCAGUACCUUCACAGCACUGGACAAGGCACAAUCAAACAUGAAGAGAGUGUUCUCUCUGAAGGUUUUUGGUUGGACCGGCAGACAUUGGGGCCAUCUGCCCGAAUGCUCUUCCCGGGGUUUCUACCGGGGAUACCGAGGCUCCACUACGAGUAGAUUCCAGACUACAGAGAUCAACCACCUACGCCCUUCUUCCCGGUCAGGGGCAGACCUUGGCAAUCCCGAGGGACCAGGGGAACCUCCUAUGGCCGACUGCCUUAUGGUGAGUCUUUUGCCAGCCCAUCUUCCUUCUAUGGUUCCAAUUUUUCGAUGCGUGGCACAUGUUGACCUCAGUCGUUUAGGUCCUAAACACCAUUCUAGGUUACCAAACCACCGUGCCACACAGGAUAGUUUUUUCCCCACACGACCAGGGUCUAGUGUCAGAGGAAAUUUGCACGCUAAAGGCAAAGGGGGCAAUUUGCAAAGUGCCAAUUUCCACCCCAGAAUUUCUGAGCAACCUCUUUUUGGUACCCAAGAAGGGUGGUGGUGUGAGACCGGUUAUCAAUCUUCGCCCCCUCAACGCAUUCGUCCGGUACCACCAUUUCAAAAUGGAGGGAAUUCUCUGCCUUCGAGACCUACUCAUGUUGGAGGAUUGAAUGGUCAAACUCGACCUGCAGGACGUUUUUCUCACAAUCCCGAUUGCCGAGGACUGCCAACGCGUCCUUCAAUUUCAAUGGGACAAGACUAUGUAGCGUUUCCAGUGUCUUCCCUUUGGCCUCUCUUCAGCUCCAUGGUGCUUCACCAAGCUGCCGAAACCAGUGGUCGCCCUUCUGCGCAGCAGAGGUGUUCGUAUGAUAAUUUACCUGGACGAUAUGCUAAUCAUAGCCCACAAUGCCACCUACUUUGUCAAAACCUCUCUUGGGCGCUGUCCCUCCUUCAAAAUUUAGGAUUUCUGAUCAAUUGGGAAAAGUCAGUGCUCAACCCAAACCAUGGAGUUUCUAGGAUUCAACAUCAAUGCGGUACAAGGGACAUUCCGUCUACCACCCACAGAGGUCCAAUUCAUCAAGAAAGAAAUCCGCCGAACAUUGACACGUCCGGUUUUGACCUUAAGACAACUCGCCAGGAUGAUCGGUCUCCUCAUGGCCUCCAUCCAGGCGAUUUUCUCAGGGCCCUUAAAUGUCUAAAGGCCACGCACUUACGCUUGGGUCAAUCUUACUCUGAUUCUGUUCCACUCAAUUGCACGGCCAAGGAAGAACUCGCCUGGUGGCUGCAACACAUGCAAGCGUGGAACGGCAGAGCAAUCUCCGGGAACGGUGCGGAUUUCGUCAUAGAAUCCGAUGCUAGUACACUAGGUUGGGGAGCGCAUUGUGGUCCUAUCUCCACAGGAGGAAAAUGGUACCAAACAGAAAUAGAGCUUCACAUCAAUGGCCUGGAACUCAUGGCCAGGUCGUUCGCCUUAAAAAGUCUCCUCGGAGUCACGACCAACUGCUCCAUCAUACUACGAAUGGACAAUAUCUCUGCAGUCCGCUACAUCAAUCGCCUGGGCGGCACGAGAUCCAAGAUACUGACGGAACUAACAAAGGAGUUUUGGCAAUACUCUCUGGAUCGCAAUAUAUCAGUACAAGCAGAAUACAUUUCAGGUUUGUCCAAUACAGUAGCGGAUUGGAAUUCCAGACAUCUGAAGACACCAGCAAUUGGUGGCUGGACCGUGAAUGUUUUCUACAACUACAAACUCUCUGGGGUCCGAUGCAUAUCGACCUCUUCGUAUCUUGAUUUAAGUCCCAACUCCUGGUGUUCUGGACCCAGACGCCCUAGCAUUGGAUGCCUUCCUCCAACCAUAACUGAACAGACGGUUUUAUGCAUUUUCUCCCUACUGGCUCGAACAUUAUUACACCUUAGACGUUUUCGGACAUCUUUGGUUGUUAUAGCCCCAUUCUGGACUGCACAACCUUGGUUCCCUUCACUCAUGGAGAUGUUCAUAGAUCUUUCCAGACUACUUCCUGGAUCCACGGACCUGUUACUGGAUCCCGACAGGAACCCGCAUCCCACAACAGUCUGGACUGUUUUACGAGUGGGUUAUUAGUUUGUCUCAUGACUUGGUUACCUGCUAUAUGCUUAACUUAAACAUGAAUUAUAUUAUUCAGUUUAGUCACCACUAUUGUAACAUAGGUGAUAUUCUAUUGGAGCAUAUUUUACCAUUUGUUCUCACUGUUCAUUACAGCUUAAAACUUUACGAUGGCUCUCAUCAGGACCGAUUUCUUUCACAGGUACAACAGAUGUGUUCACAAGGAUUCGUUCCCACGGAAGAUGUCGCCUCACAGACAACGACUGUUCGACUGCCUGGGUGGAUUCACUUAUUUUGUUUUAGUUCUUUUUUGUUAAUUAUUGGCUUAGGCUUCACCAAGAAAGAGGAGUGGCUUAGGGGCACAUGGGAGUAUAUGGAAUGUGGACUGCUCUCAUUGGCUAAGAUGUUAUGGUUAACCCUCUGAGGGUAUUCCUUUUGUUUUUUUCUAUGAAUAUGUUAAUAUCCUUUCUUUGCUGCUGAGGAAUAAAGAAAGAGAUAAAGCAUAAUAUUUGCCUACGUGUCCUUAAUAAAAUCAUGACUUUACAUCAUAUAAAUAGUAAAAUCUGGUAAUUAUAUGUGACUAGUAUAUGCAUGUGCUUCUAUGUGACAGAGAGUAUGCGUGUGCUGUUACUAUCAUGACUGUGUGAUUAUGUUUCUGUGUAUGUGAUUGCGCACGACCAUGUUUGUAUGUAUGUAUGCAAUGCAUGUCACUGUGUAUGUUUGUGUGGGCACAAAAAAGGGUAAGACGUAAGAAGGUUUAGAAGAUGCACGAGAAGUUAGGUCAAUUAAGAAACACUCGAGGGUGAAAGGGAAUUAACCCCUUAAGGACACAACUUCUGGAAUAAAAGGGAAUCAUGACGGAAUAUUUCCGUCAUGUGUCCUUAAGGGGUUAAGAGAACACAGAUUAAAGGAGGGAUUAGGAGAAACACACGAGAAGGGUCAGGAGAUAUCUGACAUUUUCAAAUGUGGACACUAUGGGGGCUCUAACAUGAUAUAUUUUGAGCUCUAUUGAGGUGCCACUUUUUUAAAUCAAUUUUUCCCCCCAAAGUUUGUGGAAUUUAUCAUUUUUUACAUAAACAUUGCAUUUUUGCUGCAUAUUUUUGUAUAUGUGUGCUACUGUAAUAAAAUUCACUAAAUUGUACUCGGCUACAUCUUCGAGUGCAACAAUACCCUGUAUGUAUACCUAUGCAAAGUAUAUGCAAAGAUACAGGGCCAAGAGUUACCUGUAGAUUUUAUGAAAGACAUGAAGGCUCAUAUUAUGCUACACUCUUUCUUUAUUUCUCUCAGCAGCAAAAAAAGAAAUUAUUAAAACAGUAUAAUAAGACAUAUAACAAUCACAUGCAGGGCUGGUUUAACAUAGGGGCUGAUGAAACUGCGGCUCCAGGCCAAUGCCCAUGGAAUAGGACCUUGUUUAAAAAAAAAAAAGAUAUUGCACUUUUUUUUUUACUACUUUUCACAUGCUCUUGCUUAAGUAUGGAAACUUAAGAGGGAUGUAGGGGAACACAACUUGUGUGGACUGGCUCACAAUUAAAUUAGUUAACGUAAAGCUGACUUUGCGCACUACGCAAAUGCUCUUGUUGCUUCUAACACUGUGACAUGUUCCAUUUCUUCUACACUCACUAUAUUCACCUUUCCUCUUUCCCAGACUGUAUAACAGCAGCUUCUGCCUGCUAGUAAGAAGGUAAGGAGGGGAGUAGACAAGUGAGUGGUAGGGGACAGUCCUUAGAAAGCGUGGAGCGAGCGCAUCAUUAGACGCAUCGAUGCCAAGCUCAGGGUGCCGUCUGCACAGUAUGCCCUUUGUUGGCCAGUCUGCAUAAUUGGCAGGCAGCCUGUCAUGCAUUUACACCAGGCUGACUUUCUAAUUCUUCAGGCAGAUAUGCCCCUUUUUUGUCCUGGUUACGGGAUUGACAUCAGUGGCCCACCCUUUUACCCUGCCCACUGACAUUCUGCUUCACCUGACCUGCUGUUAGGGGUUAUGGAUUUACUUGAAAGAUGAAAGUGAGAGAUUAGCAUAGGGUAUAUGUUGUUGUUUUUUUAAAUAAAGUUUUUAUUGAUCGUAAAGUAAAGCAUCAGAUGCAACAUUCGUGGACAUGCAGGUCCAAAUCAGCACCAUUCAUUGGUCGCGCUGGUCGCCAUAAUAAACUUGUCAGGACGCGCAGGUCCAUUGUGAUCUAUUAAAGUAUUUCUAAUGUAAUGUAACACUGUUUAAUACAAUUCCAUCCACUCAUGUUUCAAGAGCACUGGGAAGAGAUUAGCUUAGAUAACUCGAGAGCACCUCCCUCCAUCCCCCCAGUCUGUCUGGGCCAGAGAGGAGCAUUUCUCCAUAACCCCCUUGGACACGCCUUAAGGAGGUCCAAGAAUCGGGCUACAGUCGUCUUCAAUACCAUCUCAAACAAGGUUUGGUAUAUGUUUUCUUAUAACUGCAUCCUGUGAGUUUCCCUCCAGCACCACCUCCACCAGAUACUUGACGCUUGGGAGGUAUAACUGUUUUAGUGUUUUCUGUCGAUAAUAUUCUGUAAUUAGGCCCACGAUAAUUGUCAGCACCAGGCCCAAUGGGCUCUUAAUCUGGCUCUGAUCACAUGUCAUAGUAACAAGGUCAGCCAAUCAGUAACUCUUCUGUGGUAUAACGGGCAGAGCCAAACCAACUACUUCCUCUUUCUUUGCUGCUCCCUCAAGUAGAACCUGGGUCCCAUGGUUCUUAAAUUGUGGGAUCUAUUUUUAUAUAUUUGGUUUAUAUUCCCAAAUUCCAACUCCCUCCUCAAUCCUCUUCAAUCUGGCUUCCGCCCCCUCCAUUCUACUGAGACUGCUCUUAUUAAAGUUAUAAAUGACCUAAUCACAGCUACAGUUGCAAGAAAAAAAGUAUGUGAACCCUUUGGAAUGAUAUGGAUUUCUGCACAAAUUGGUCAUAAAAUGUGAUCUGAUCAUCAUCUAAGUCACAACAAUAGACAAUACAGUCUGCUUAAACUAAUAACACACAAAAGAAUGAAAUGUUGCCAUGUUUUUAUUGAACACACCAUGUAAACAUUCACAGUGCAGGUGGAAAAAGUAUGUGAACCCUUGGAUUUAAUAACUGGUUGAACCUCCUUUGGCAGCAAUAACUUCAACCAAACGUUUCCUGUAGUUGCAGAUCAGACGUGCACAACGGUCAGGAGUAAUUCUUGACCAUUCCUCUUUACAGAACUGUUUCAGUUCAGCAAUAUUCUUAGGAUGUCUGGUGUGAAUCGCUUUCUUGAGGUCAUGCCACAGCAUCUCAAUCAGGUUGAGGUCAGGACUCUGACUGGGCCACUUCAGAAGGCGUAUUUUCUUCUGUUUAAGCCAUUCUGUUGUUGAUUUACUUCUAUGCUUUGGGUCAUUGUCCUGUUGCAACACCCAUCUUCUGUUGAGCUUCAGCUGGUAGACAGAUGGCCUUAAGUUCUCCUGCAAAAUGUCUUUAUAAACUUGGGAAAUCAUUUUUCCUUCGAUGAUAGCAAUUCCUCCAGGCCCUGACGCAGCAAAGCAGCCAAACCAUGAUGCCCCCACCACCAUACUUCACAGUUGGGAUGAGGUUUUGAUGUUGGUGUGCUGUGCCUUUUUUUCGCCACACAUAGUUUUGUGUGUUUCUUCCAAACAACUCAACUUUGGUUUCAUCUGUCCUCAGAGUAUUUUGCCAGUACUGCUGUGGAACAUCCAUAUCGCCAGUAUCCACCCCUUUCUCACGCAAGAUGCUGCCAAGGAGCUUGUUCAUGCUCUGGUAAUCUCUUGCAUGGAUUACUGUAAUUCUCUCCUAGUUGGUCUCCCCAGAAGCCAAACAGCAGCGCUAUAAGCUACAAAGAAUGUUGCCGCCAGGCUGAUUGUCCCUCCCAUACCUCACCCCUCUGUCGAUCCUUACAGUGACUUCCUGUAUCCGAUAGGUGUCCAUUCAAAAUAAUAACCCUUACCUAUAAAGCUCUAAACAACUCUAGCCCCUGUUACAUUGAUUCAUAGCUGUGCGCCUUCUCAGUCUCUCCGCUCUGGCAGUGACCUUCUCCUGUUCGCUGCUCGCAUUCUUACUGCUAAUUUGCGCUUGCAGAGCUUCUUGCAGGCUGCUCCCUUCCUUUGGUACAGCCUGACUAACCCCUUCAGACUCUGCCCCAGUCUACAAUUGUUUAAGAAGUCCCUCAAAACACAUCUGUUCAGAAAUGCUUAUGGUCUCUCAGAGUAACUUAUCUAUACUUAUCCAUAUUUGUCUCUUGCUCUCAUCUCCAGUUCUGCUACUUUUCCACCUUGUUUGGUGGCUGUCACCCUUGCUGCCCUGUUGUGUAUUUGUACCCCACCUCCUCUAGACUGUAAACUCAUUUGAACAGGGCCCUCAUCUACCUAUUGUUCCUGUGUAGUGAUGUCCCGAACGGUUCGGCGAACGGUUUGCCGAAUGGUUUGCCGCGGACGGUUCGCCACGGACUCAUCAUUGAGUAAACUUUGACCUUGUACCUCACAGUCAGCAGACACAUUCCAGCCAAUCAGCAGCAGACCCUCCCACCUCCUGGACAGCUCACUAACAAUGCAGCUUCACAAUGAAUGUAAAAUGGAUGCUGUCCAGGAUGUGGGAGGGUCUGGGAGGGAGGGUCUGCUGCUGAUUGGCUGGAAUGUGUCUGCUGACUGUGAGGUACAGGGUCAAAGUUUACUCAAUGAUGAGUCCGUGGCGAACCGUUCGCGAACCGUUCUGGACAUCACUAUUCCUGUGUAAUUGUCUCAUUUAUUGUAAAUCCCACCCUCUUUUAUAAUAUUGUAAAGUGCUGCGGAAUUAGUUGUCACUAUAUAAAUACCAAUAAUAAUAUCUUGGAUAUAAUUAUAUUACUGUGAUAUCUAGUGUUAUCUAUUAUUAAUAUUGAUUUUGUUUAGUUUAUCUACCCUUAUUUGGUGUAUUUGUGCCUGUUUACCCAUUGUUACUGCUAGUGUUCUAGGGGCAGUCCCAGGGUCUAUCUGAAGUUGGGGCUCCUUGUUGCUCUGUUUAUUUUCUUUUCCUUUGCACUGUCAGGCCUUCCUGACCGGUAUUAAGCAGUUUUCCCACACCUUCCCCACUCCCUCCCUCCAUUUAAGAGGUUUGUUCAAUUUGUUUGUUUGGAGCGCACUCAUUUACGCACAGCUCCUUGCCGUCCAUUCGCCAUACGAAUGUGCACGACUAGCACAUUCGCCUCUACUGCUCAUGUGUAUCUUUAUGAAUGCGCUAUGUUCGGUAGAAAAAAUGGCCCAAACGAUUUUUGCAUGACACAAAUGAUUUUUUCCACCAAACGCAUGUUUGUUGCUUUACUGUGGAGCGGUCCAUUUUUGGCUGGCCCUUCCACAGACUGCACUUCACUCUCUGUGAGUGUUUAGUUGUACUGGCAUUCAGACUGCUCCUUGUCUUUGCUACUCUGUGAGUUUUUUCCAAAUCCUUUAAUUUUAUUCCAUUUAUCCCCUUUGCUUUUAUUGCUCUUUGUGGGUUAUUCAGCCCUGGGAAGUGUUUAGAUUGAUCAUUUACACUUUAGUAAAAUUUGUGGCCUGUGUUUUACUGUAACGUGCAAUGCAGCCUAAUAGGGACCUUCCUACUCCUACUGGAUCACAGGCUGCCCUUAGAUUCCUGAGGGCUUCUCCCCUAUGGCCUCUGCAGAUGAGGCAGAUUACACUAUCUCAGAAAAGAUGCAAUCUAUUUUGGACACUUCUAUGCCCAUGUUAUGUCAAUGUCUUUAUCCAAGACGUUUUCACAGGGUUUAUUGCAAGCCCAAAUGUCGGUUCCUCCGACCUCUCAGAUGUUCGCGAUACCCCCUGCCUCUCAGCCUAAGAUGGGCAGUUUUACACUUGUUACAGAUGGCGUGCAAGUGAAUCUACUGCACAAAAGAACCACUGGCUCGGCAAAAUCAGCCAGGUAAUGGAAACAGGCUAAAGCCCAACCUGAUUCAACUGAUGAGGAGGAGUAUGAUCAGGAGUCUGUUCUGGUCCCGUUUGAUGACCUGUCUGAUUAUGCAGUAGGUGAAGUUGAAGUCCCCUCUCUAUUUCUGCCGCUGAUGGGGUUUCAGGCACUGAGAUGAGUCGCCCCUUUGUCAGCUGAGGCAGGAGAAAUUAUCCUGAUGACUUACGUCAUCCAAGGUUGGCUGAAUGGUCACCUUCUGAACAUGUGACACGUUAUAUUGGAAGACUUCAGAGCUGAAAAGUUGGGGUUUUCAUUUCUCCUGCUCUUGGUCAGUAUACCUUUUUAAUGGGUUUUUGCAUUUAGCACUUUAUUAUUAUGGUGAUAUUGGUAUUAUAAAUUGGGUAUUCACUUUCUUUCUGUCAUAAUUAGUUGAUGUAUUUUUUCAAUGCAUGAAUAAACAUUGUUUAUGUGCAUACUUUGGUGUGCCUUGGGAUCAUUACUAUUUCUAUUGUACAUACAAAUCCGGUGUGGGGACGGAUUUUUUUCCUUAAAGAGCACCCAGUACCUUUUCUACCACAUUACUUCUCACCCAUUUCCACUUGAGCAUUUCUUAUAAUUAUGUAUUUGAUCCUUGGCGGACAUCAUCAGAAGUAGUGUUAUGAGCCAAUCACAAUGAUUUCCAUAGGAAAGCAUUAGACUGGUUGAGAGUGUCAAGGAGGCAGAUCAGGGACAGAGCCAGCACAAGCCAAACACUGCUCUGGCCAGUCAGCAUCUCCUCAUCGAGAUGCAUUGAAUCAGUGCAUCUCUAUGAGGAAAGUUCAGUGUCUCCAUACAGAGGGUGGAGACACUGAAAGUCAGUGCUGUACACUGUGCAGCACUGCCCCAGAAAGCACCUCUAGUAGCCAUAUGAAGAGUUGCAACUAGAGUUGUCCCUAAGCUGUAAUGUAAACACUGCAUUUUCUCUGAAAAAAACUGUGUGUACUGCAAAAAAGCCUGAAUGGGUUAUACUUACCAGAACAAAUACAAUAAGCUGUAGUUGUUCAGGUAACUAUAGUGUCCCUUUAAAAUCCCCAUGCAACUGUCAUCACUUACAGUGAUCACUGCUAAGCAACAUGCAUAGCCCAGUGCUGAUCACCCUCUGCUGCCAGUGAGUCAGGAUUGUAGCUGAACCUGGAAGUUCAGCCACUGUAAAUUAAUGGGCUGUAUGUAGCGUUUACAUUUAGCGCUGCACACUGCAUGAUGGCACUAAUUCUCAUCCCAGCUAACAGAAGUGCUCUCCAGUUACCAUCAGGGAAACAGUUCCUGCUGGUAAAAUGGUACAUGAUGGAAUAAGUACAUUAUGUGUCAUUAAGUCCUUACGUUAAUAGAAAAAUGUGUUGUCCAUUGAAUAUUAAAUUAUUAGCAAGGAAGCACCAUUAUAACAAUGUGUAAUUAUUAGACUUUACUAUUUUACAGAUGUUUAUGGUAGUUUCUGGUUAAAUCUGUGUGAUACAUAUCCUGAACAAUAAGAUUUCCCUACUCAGCUUCACAAAAUCAUUACUGAAUUAUUCACAAGGGAUAAACUAUUGAACUCUAUUGAACUGAACUGCCUAUUAAUAAUUGUAUUUAAUUGUUAAAUUGGACCAGCUUUCCCUUCACCAGUAGAAACCAGUUCCUCUACGGCAGGUCCAGGACUAUCAUUGGCGGCAUCUCUGUCACUGGAUAGAGGUUGAUCUUCCACAAAUUGCUUGGAAAGGUGGCUAUGGAAAGGUAUGUGACACAUGAAAUGCUCACUCAAGUAAUGUAUUGAGAUUGUUUUUUGAAUUCCAUUUCCAGAAAUAGAAAUAAGUGUCUUGUGUAAUUCAUACUGUAUUGUGUAAUGUACUGCUUAAUACAUGGUUAUAGGAGAGUUGUUGGCUUAUAGUCCAAAGUGAACCUGUGAUUUAUGUGUGAUUAUGGUCACUUGCAGCGUUAUGCACUAACAUGAGAAACCAAAGUAAAUUCAAUCUGAAUUUAAAAUUUAAAGGGACACUGUAGGCACCGGGACCACUUCUGCCCAUUGAAGUGGUCUGGGUGCCAACUCCCACUACUCUUAACCCUGCAAGUGUAAUUAUUGCAGUUUUUUAUAAACUGCAAUAAUUACCUUGCAGGGUUAACUCCACCUCUAGUGGCUGCCUACUAGACAGCCACUAGAGGGCACUUCCGUGUGCAUAGCACAGGAAACCUGUGCUAGAGCGUCGCUGGACGUCCUCACGCUGUGUGAGGACCUCCAGCGUCGCUCAAUUCCCCAUAGGAAAGCAUUGAAAAGCAUUUUCAAUGCUUUCCUAUGGAGAGCUCUAAUGCGCAUGCGCAGCAUUGCUGCGCAUGCGCAUUAGGUCUCUUCAGCUUCAGACGGGAUCAGUCUCGCCCACUGGCUGACGUAAUCACCAGGAGGAGCGGCGGCGAGCAAAAAUCACCGCAGAGGGACAUCGGCGGGGUCUCAGGUAAGUGACCUGAAGGGGUUUUCAACCCUUCAGCUACCGGGGGAUGGGUGGUGGGAGGGAGAGGGGACCUGCAGUGCCAGGAAAACGGAUUGUUUUCCUGGCACUGGAGUUUCCCUUUAAGUAAAAAAUAGCUGAAUUGAAAGUAUAGCUGACUAGGAGAUUUUUUCCAGUUCAGAUAUUUUGGACAUAAAUUUGAAAUUCACUUUGUCUUCCUGACAAUUUUCACUUUAGUGAAUAAAGUGCUUUCCACUAUAUCAUUAAAUUCACUUUGCUCCCCUGUGAGAUUGAUCUUUACGUGAAUGUAUUUAUGUAAAAGUUUAAGGGCAGUACAUUAGUGUAAAUUUACUAAAGAGUUGACAUUAACAAUGCUAAAUUUAGACUAAAAUAGAAUAGAUGACAAGCAGCUCAGCUGUUUUGGCCUAAAUAAUAUUAUAUACUCAACUCAAUUUACUGUGUAGUCAAUAAACAAAAUAUUUCAUAUUACUGGCAUUUUCACAUGGCAUUCAGGCUUUAUAACUGACCCUAUUUUAGGAUCCGGUCCCACCAUCUUGGAGCACAGAGUGAGCGCAUCGUUAGAAAGCACAAGGCUAGAAAGAUGAAGAGUGCAUCGGAGUUCCAGCAAUAGCCAGUUUAGCUCUUUUAACAUGUCACAAUCAGAGCUGGUGCAAGGAUUUUUUCCGUCCUAGGCAAAAGAAAAAUUUGCCGCCCCCUCCCUCCCCAUGUGACAUCACAAUGCCCCACCCAUAUGAUCUGCCAUAUCAACUAACGCCAGUACUGCACAGAGUGUGUGUUUACAUUAAAAAGCCUGCAGGGACAGGCUCUAGACACCGGAACCACUUCAUUAAGCUGCAGUGGUUCUGGGGACUAUAGUGUCCCUUUAAUGUGAGGUAAAUUAGAGAUUAGUGCCACUAAUAAUAUACUAGAUUUCCUAUUUACAACCAGAUGAGGAUGGUGAUGGGUUCUGGCUGCAGUUUGGCUCCACUAAUCUGGUGUAGAACAGGAUCUCUGGAGGCUAUUUGUAACUGUGGUCACAAAAUUCAAUGUUCUGGGAGAACAGGAAGCAGCUCCAUUUUUUAGUGCCCCUUACACAGCUCAAGGUCUGGGCCCCAGGGCCUGACGGUGAGUAUGCCCAUAAGGCACACCCAUGAGUCCACCUAUAUGUUCCACCCAUGAGUUCGCUCACAGGUAGUGGAGUGUGUAGGGGAUGUGUUAUGUGUUAUUGUAGAGGAUCUAAUGUGUGUACUUAUGGAAUAUGGUGUAUAGGGAUACCAGUUUGUGUAGGUGAUGCAGUGUGUUUGUGUAUAAGGGAUUUAUUGUGUGUUUCUGGUUGUGUGUUAGGGAUGCAUUAUGUGAAUCUGUUUUUUUAUGCAUAAGGGAUGCAAGGUGCGUGUCUGUAAGUGUGUGCAUUGAGUGUGUACAAGAAAUGCAUUGUGUUUCUGUGUGUGUGUUUGCAUGUGUGUGUAAGGGAUGCAUUGUGUCUUUCUGUGUAUGUGUGCAAAGGAUGCAUUGUCUUUGUGUGUAAGGGUUGCAAUGUGUGUGUGUGUGUGUGUGUGUGUGUGUGUAAGGGAAGCAUGUUGUGUUUCUGUGUGUGUAGGGAUGCAUUGUGUGUUUCUGUGUAUGUAUAGGGAUGCAUUGUGUGUGUGUGCGCUUAGUGUGAAAGAGCUACCUGCUCUUCCUUUUGUCCCUUAGAGCUCUACCCUGCCCUUAGUGGUCUCUUCUCACACCCACCCACCCUCCAUGUGUUCUUCUCACACCGCCCUCCCUUCCUGUGUUCUCCUCACCUCCCCUUCUCCUCACCCCCUCUCCCGUGUUCUUCUCACCCUCCCUGUGUUCUUCUCACUCCCCCCUCCCUGUGUUCUUCUCUCCUCCCCUUCUCCUCACCCCCUCUCCCUGUGUUCUUCUCACUCCCCCUGCUCUUCUACCCCUCCCCCUGUGUUCUCCCUCAUCUCCUUCUCCCUCACCCUCCCUCCCUGUCUCUGUCUCCCCCUGUCUUCUUCUCUUUUACUCCCUCCUGUCUUUCUUACCUCUCCCUCUUUCUUCUUACUCCCUCCCUCUUUCUUUUUACUUCCCCUGUUUUCUUUCUACUCCCUCCCCUCUUUCUCUUCUUACUCUCCUCCCCUUUUCUACCCUCCUCCUGCUUCUUACUCCCUCCUCUCCUUCUUUCUUCUUACUCCCCUCCCUUUUCUUUCUUACUCCUCCCUCAUAUUUCUUUCUUACUCCCUCCCUCUUUCUUUUCUUUUCCCCUGUUUUCUUUCUUACCCUCCCUCUUUCUCUUUUUCUUACCUCCUCCCUCUUUCUACCCUCCCUGUUUUCUUUCUUACUCUCCCUCUCCUUCUUUCUUAUUCCCUUCCCUCUUCUUCUUACUCCCUCCUCCCUUCUUCUUACCUCCCUCCUCUUCUUACUUCCCAGUUUUCUGUACUCCCUGCCCUCUUCUUUCUUUAAUCCUGUUUUCUUCUUUACCUCUCCUUCCUUUUCUUUCUUACUCUCUUCUUCUAUACCCCUCCCUCUCUUUCUUUUACUUCCUGCUUCUUCUUACUCCCUCUCCCUGUUUUUUCUUACCCUCUCUGUUUUACUCUCCUCUCUUGUUGCCCCUCCCUCUUUCUUUCUUGCCCCCCUCCUCUAGUUCUUCUUACGCCCCCUCCCCCCUGUGUUACAGGGAAGGGGAGGUGAGGAGAGAGGCAGUGCGGCAGCCGCCUGAGAGCUCUCUAUAGAGUUCUCAGGCGGCUGCAGAAUUUAAAGGGCCGGUAAUGGAGGGGCAGGGCGCACCCUCCUAUAUGGCGCCCUAGGUGGCUGCCUAGUUCGCCUUAUAGGAUGCGCCGGCUCUGGUCACAAUGGUUUAUCAUAUCUGGCCACAGAAUGGAAUGGCUAACACCCAGGACUUGGCGUCUGGGAUUAUCGAGUUAUGGCACUGAGUUGAUGCACUCAUGCUGUAUUUAAUUUUGUGCAAAGUCCUAAACUCCAAGUUGCUAGUAAUUCUGAAAUAAAAAAAUAAAAUAAAAAAUGGGCAACAAGCACAACAUUCUUUCAAAUGUGCACAUUUUGAGGGUAAUCUCCAAAUUCGUCUCCAACUUACUUUCUAUUAAACGUCCUUAUGUCAGGUUUGGGUCACAUUCUGAGAUAUUAAUGGAAUUUUGAUUUUCAUGAGUGUGUUCAGACCUUAGUAGGUUUUGGUGUUCUUAAAUAUUGGCCUUCACAUUCCCUGUUCUAUAUUUUGCCAUAAAAGCAAAAACACAAUGGCAGGCUUGUUUUAUCAGUUGGUUCCUUUUGUUUCAUUUUAAUAGCGCAACACUAUUGGAAAUUCUUAUUUUAGUGUAUGUAAAAAUAGAGACAAAAUCUAUUAUUAAGCCUUCUUUUAGCUGUUUGUGUAAGUGUCUGUGUUGUGGUACGGUUCCCAAUGUCGUUUACUUCCACUCAGAGCCAUUUAUGCCUUGUAUUAGAAAAUCUGCAUGAAGAUCUCAAGGCCUCUUUGAACAAAAUUAUGUGAAUGGGACGAGGUACUACAAUGUAAGACUAAAUGAGGGGGUUUAAAAAGAGGGAGGAGAAGAGGAGGAAGAAAUAUUGGUCCGAGCAUAGAGAAGGUUUAAAGUGACACUAUAGUCAUUAGAACAAAUACAGCUUAUUGUAUUUGUUCUGGUGAGUAGUAUCAUUCCCUUGAGGCUUUUUGCAGUAAAUACUGUAUUUUCAGAGAAAAUGCAGUGUUUAAAUUUUAGCCAAGGGAUAACUCGGCUGACAACUCCUCAGAUGGCUGCCAGAGGUGCUUCCUGGGUCAGUGUUGUACAGUGUGACUGCCAUUCAGUGUCUCCACCUUCUGCAUGGAGACACUGAACUUUCAAUGUAUCUUUAUGAGGAUAUGUUGAUUUGCCCGGGCUGUGCUGGCUCUGCCCCUGAUCUGCCUCCUUGAAAGUCUCAGCCAAUCCUAUGGGAAAGCAUUGUGAUUGGCUCAGUGAAUCACUUCUUAUGAUGUCAGCCAAGCAGGCAAAUCAGGGGCAACAGCUGAACACUUGAAUAAAGGUAAGAUUUUUAUAUAUUUAGGGGGGCAAAAGGUGGCUGGGCAGGGGGAUAGAUAAUGCUAGAUGGUAUGUUUAACACUAUAGGAUCAGGAAUACAUAUUUGUGUUCCUGACCCUAUAGUGUUCCUUUAACAGUAAAGAAAUAUGACAAUGGUCUUAACAAAGCGCAUGUGAAAGAUAGGGUUUUGGAAGAAAUUGGUUGGCAUAGGAAGGUGACAAAUGUUCUGUAUUUCAGAUUUAUGGUGACUAUAACAUCCAGCUUUCACAUUUACUCGUAAAAUAUCAUUUAGGCUUAUCAAUUGGAUGGACAAAUGCCCUGACUGAUAAUAAAUAUAAAAAAAAAUAUUGUUAUUAAAAGAACAGGAGUGCAAUAAUCUUGGGAGGGACUGAAACACUCGAAACACCAAGACAACUACAACUCGCUUUAGAGGUUAUGGUGCCAAGAGUGCCCUGAAGCCCCACCUUUGUAAGGACUCAAACUUUUUUUAACAGGUUGGCUUCUUACCUGAGGUUUGCCAGGCCCAGCUCCCUGUCACCACUACCAACGUUGGACAGCUGGACGUUCCUAAGCAGGAAGUUCAAAUGGCUGUCCCUGAGCUAAGCCCUGCAAUGCAUGUUCACUGGCUGAGAUUAAUUGGCUGAUGUUCUCAGGCAAUGAAAAGCAUAGCACUUUCAGCUCCUCUUUGCUGGUAGUGGAAAGGGGAGCUGUGCCCAAGGGACCACAGGUAAUAAUUCAAACCAUUCAAAAAAAUAGGUUGACUGCCUACAAUAAGUGGUCCCCAGGGCACUCCUGGCACCAUAACAACUGUAUCGAGCAGGUGCAGUUAUUGUGCUUGAGGUUGAAAAGUGAUAGUUCUUAAAAAAAAAUAAUGUCUUAAAGGACCACUAUAGUGUCAGGAAAACAUACUAGUUUUCCUGGCACUAUAGUGCCCUGAAGGUUCCCCCACCCUCAGGGUCCCCCUCCCGCCGGGCUCUGGGGAGAGGAAGGGGUUAAACUCUUCUCCUCCUCCUCUUCGGCUGAAUGCACAGCCAGUCCAUAGGAAAGCAUUCACAAUGCUUUCCUAUGGACGUUGGCGUCUUCUCACUGUGAAAAUCACAGUGAGAAGCACGCAAGCGCCUCUAGCGGCUGUCAAGAGAGCCACUGGAGGCUUGAUUAACCGUAUUAUAAACAUAGCAGUUUCUCUGAUGGACCUGGAACCCAGACCACUUCAUUCAGCUCAAGUGGUCUGGGUGCCUAUAGUGGUCCUUUAAACAGCUGCCCACCAACAUGCUUAUAAUAGCAUUGUUUUGUAGGCACAGGUGCAUUGCAUAGAUAAACAAUGUAGUGCGAUCCUUGUUUGCAGAUAGCACGGCCCUCUAGGGUAAACAACAGGCACAGUCCCUUUUAUUUUCAUAUAAUCCAGGCACUUUAUUUGUAAGUCCACACAGGAGACAGCAGCAAAUGAAAACAUAAAUAUAACUCAAAUCCCUAUAAACAAAAACCUAGCUCGUCUGAGCACUUACUAACAUCAGGUUCCCUAUCUCUCAGGGGUUAAACUAGAACAAAACAAUAUUGGUUUCACCAACCUAGUUUCUUUGUCAGCGCUCUGCACUCCAGUGCUUAGUCAGCCUGUUGCUUUCCUUUCUACACUCCCAGUGCUCCAAGCCCCAAGCCAGCCUUAACUGCUUUCCUUUCUGCACUCCCAGUGCUCCAAGCCAGCCUUGACUGCUUUCCUUUUGCACUCCCAGUGCUAAGUCUCCUUGACUCUCUUACUGGAGAGAACAGCCUCUCUCCUACCUGCUUCCAGGGAGGAACCCAGCUAUCCCCCUUUACCUGCCUAGCAGGGAGGGGUUUAUUCCUACUGCUACAGCAGAUUAUCUGCAGCUGAGCAGUGGGUUGGAGACAGUUCCAAAGAACUCUGGCCUGGACCUUAUUUCUCCCAGUUGUGUAUAAACUGAGGAGUGGAGCAUUGGCCCACCCUGCUCUCCAAAUGCUCCACCCGAGGGGCCCAUAACUAAAUGUAGCUUUGUGUUGCACACCACACAUACAACACAUACUUCCCCAGGGGUUAAAUGUUAAAGGCCCCUCUGCCUUCACUUUAUCACAGUAGAAUAAAACAAUAACAAUCACAAUGGCUGCUAGUUCAUUAUUUUCUAUGGCCUGAAUUCUUUUUCUCUUUCCAUAUGUUUUUAUUUAAUUUUACACAUUAAAAUAAUUGUACAUAUCGAUAGUAACAAGUAGUACAAUAAGUGUAGAAUGUAACAAUUACAAUAAUAAUAAUAAAAUUAAAAUUAAAAACAAAAACUAACAAAGAAAAAAAGAGGGGUAUAAUAAUAGUUUACAUCCAUGUGGUUACUAAUCUAUAUUAAAAAAAAAAGCGGGGGGGAGUACAAGUAUGUCAUAUAUGUUUUGUAUAAUUAUGUUUUUAAAUUAUAUUAUACAUGGUAAUUAUAAGAAAAGAAAAUAUUUUGUUUUGUCAGGUGGGAACCAUGGUCAAAGUUUGUACACAUACAUACUGACAUAUACACACACACACACAUAUACAUACAUACUGACUGACAUACAUACAUACACGGACAGACAGACAGACACACACUGCUCAUUUUUCAGCCACCCUCCUGUUCCUUAUAUUUUUGUUGCAGUAGAGUAGCUGGGGAUAAUGGGAGUCGGCAAACUCCUCCAGUCUGCUUCCUCCUUCUUGCGCGGAGUAAGCUGGGAGGAAGUGACAGACCAUCACUUCCUCCCAGCGCAACUUGCGGCUGCCAUUUUUAAAGGGGCCCGGUCAGGCUAUUAUACGGCUGGAGCACAGUCCCGGUCCCUGAAGAUAUAGGGCCCUGUCCCCCAAGAAACCCAUUUUAAGACCAAUAAUUUUUCUAAUUUUCUAUUGAAGGAUUACCCCACUCAGUUCCACUCUAAAUUUCAUACCAAAUCAAGGGGUGUAUCAAUUUUUUUUCACAAAAGCGUACCCUGUCACACUGAAGAAGUUUCUGUGGACAAUAAAGGUAGGUUUAUAAAUUGGAGAGGUACGCUAACUAGUGUGGAAUAUACUUUGGCAAACGUUUACUUCCCUUACUCUGGACAACUUCAGUUUUCGAAAACAAUUGUUAGUUUUCUAAAGAUGCUAAGGGCAGACUGAUUAUAGGAGGAGAUACCAAUUUUUUUCUAGACUGUGAAAAGGACAUUGUCAGAAAAACUUAAUGCAUUGUUAAAUAUUACAAUAGUGAAAGAUUGGCUAAUCGGUGCUCCAAAUUUCUUUUUUCACAAGGAUUAUUCGAUUGUUGGCGCAUAUUACAUGAAGGAGAGAAAGACUAUACCUAUCACUCGACCAUGUAUAAUAUGUACUCUCGGAUUGACAGGUUCUUGGCAGGUGAGAGCACAAUUCUGUGCAUUAUAAGGUCUGAUAUUUUGGACACUAACUGGUCUGAUCACGCCCCCAUAGUGUUAUAUUUAGAGUAGUCCUUCCAGUCAAAUCCAUGCAGGCCAUGGAUCUCAGUGACCAUUUAGUCACAGAGCUUGAAAAUAAGACACUUGCUGGAAAAGAGCUUGUUAACUAUUUCAGGAAAAUUCAAAUCCAAAUUUACUUGUUACUUCAUUAUGGAAUGCUCAUAAAGCUGUCUUGCGAGGACGCUUUAUACAAAGGGCUUCAUAUUUGAAGAAAAUUAGAUCGAAAAAUUUAAGAGAAUUGGUAAAAGAAUUGUAUACGGUAACUUAAAUCUGGAAAACAAAUAAGGCCUGAAUUUUCACCCAGAUUUGAGUAAAAUAUCUGAAUUAGAUAAAAAAAAAUAAUAAUAAUUCUGCAGUUUAAAAAAACAGGUUAGGUACAAAUUAGGCUUAUUGGAAUGGCUAUUUACUACCUAGAAUAAAUUUUUACUACAGAAUGAGUUAUUGUAAUGUGAUUUCUCCAGUCGGCUAAAUUAGGACUUUCUGAUAUAAGAAAACAUGCUAAUUUUAUGUAACUGAUAAGUUAAUACAUUCUUGUUUAUUAGAUGUUUUGCUGUUGAGAUGUAAUGUGGACUGCACUUUCUCUGUAGAUUUGACAUGUGCAUUGGUAACUACACCUUCUUUAAGCACAAUUUAGGGUUUGCUCUUGCUACUGUGUCUUUAGUUAAAUUCUUACCCUUCUACCCUUCACAUCCACCUUUUAGCAUUGUUCCUCUUUCAUUGGCUAAUUUUUACCCUCCCUGUUUUUAAAAGAGUAGGGUUUUAAAGGUACCUGCCAAGCCCAAACCACAUUUUCUGUUUUAAAAGAUUAUAAAAUGUAAUCUAUAUAUUAUGCUAACAGUUUUGCUAGCAAAUGCACAGGUUGAAAGAAAACUAUUUAAAAAUAGUAUUUACCCUCACUUGUCAAUCAAUUCUUUGGCAUAGACUCUAUGCCUUGGAAUUGAUGACAGGAAGAGCAGAAAAGUCCUCCCACAGGUGGCCCUUCUGUUGCUAGUGCUGGCUAGAGAGUUUUUUUACUGGCAUUGCAGACAGAGUGUCAGUGUCAUGGAGGAUGAAUGGGGAAGCCAUCCCAAACAGCGCAAAUCACUGAAGACCACAG
RNAcentral lists this long non-coding RNA (21160 nucleotides) under Pelobates cultripes (western spadefoot toad). Lineage: Eukaryota; Metazoa; Chordata; Amphibia; Anura; Pelobatidae. The record is from RNAcentral.